Molecule: ribosomal RNA, 208 nt
Filed under: Actinomyces ruminicola
Lineage: Bacteria; Bacillati; Actinomycetota; Actinomycetes; Actinomycetales; Actinomycetaceae
Description: 16S rRNA. Bacterial SSU
Rfam family: Bacterial small subunit ribosomal RNA
Source: RNAcentral
UUUGUUUGGAGAGUUUGAUCCUGGCUCAGGACGAACGCUGGCGGCGUGCUUAACACAUGCAAGUCGAACGGGCUUUCCUGCUGGUUUUUGCUGGUGGGUUGGUUAGUGGCGAACGGGUGAGUAACACGUGAGUAACCUGCCCUCUUCUCCUGGAUAACUGCUUGAAAGGGUGGCUAAUACGGGGUGGUCUGGCCUGCCUGCAUGGGUG